This 73-nucleotide transfer RNA is filed under the name Myotis brandtii (Brandt's bat). It matches the Rfam family "tRNA". From Rfam's summary of the family: Transfer RNA (tRNA) molecules are approximately 80 nucleotides in length. The record is from Rfam by way of RNAcentral. Lineage: Eukaryota; Metazoa; Chordata; Mammalia; Chiroptera; Vespertilionidae.
GCUGGUUUAGCUCAGUGGCUAGAGCAUAGGCCUUCAGACUGAAGGCUCCUGGGUUCAAUUCCAGGAAAGGGCA